RNAcentral lists this ribosomal RNA (253 nucleotides) under uncultured bacterium. Its description in RNAcentral is "partial 16S ribosomal RNA". It matches the Rfam family "Bacterial small subunit ribosomal RNA", at positions 524 to 776 of the family's 1533-position model. The record is from RNAcentral.
UACGUAGGGGACGAGCGUUGUCCGGAAUUAUUGGGCGUAAAGGGCGUGUAGGCGGCUCUGCAAGUCCUGCGUGAAAUCUCGAGGCUCAACCUCGAGCGGUCGUGGGAAACUGGAGGGCUAGAGUGCGGGAGAGGGAAGUGGAAUUCCAGGUGUAGCGGUGAAAUGCGCAGAUAUCAGGAGGAACACCGGUGGCGAAGGCGGGUCUCUGGGCAGCAACUGACGCUGAGGAGCGAAAGCGUGGGGAGCGAACAGG